GCGUCUGUAGCUCAAUCGGACAGAGCGCAAGAUUCCGGAUCUUGAAGUUGGAGGUUCGAGUCCUCUCAGACGCG
RNAcentral lists this transfer RNA (74 nucleotides) under Candidatus Curtissbacteria bacterium RBG_13_40_7. Its description in RNAcentral is "tRNA-Arg". It matches the Rfam family "tRNA". From Rfam's summary of the family: Transfer RNA (tRNA) molecules are approximately 80 nucleotides in length. Lineage: Bacteria; Candidatus Curtissiibacteriota. The record is from RNAcentral.